AAAUACUUAGUGGCGGACGGGUGAGUAACGCGUGAGAAUCUGCCUUCAGGACGGAGACAACAGUUGGAAACGACUGCUAAGCCCCGAUGAACCGAAAGGGAAAAUAUUUAUAGCCUGAAGAUGAGCUCGCGUCCGAUUAGCUAGUUGGGGGGGUAAAAGCCCACCAAGGCGACGAUCGGUAGCUGGUCUGAGAGGACGAUCAGCCACACUGGGACUGAGACACGGCCCAG
Molecule: ribosomal RNA, 230 nt
Filed under: uncultured bacterium
Lineage: Bacteria
Description: partial 16S ribosomal RNA
Rfam family: Bacterial small subunit ribosomal RNA
Source: RNAcentral